Homo sapiens (human) is the source of this 344-nucleotide non-coding RNA. The record is from the annotation of a RefSeq genome assembly. NCBI's taxonomy places the organism in Eukaryota, Metazoa, Chordata, Mammalia, Primates, Hominidae.
AUGAGCAUCAGGCUCCUGUGCUGUGUGGCCUUUUCUCUCCUGUGGGCAGGUCCAGUGACUGCUGGGAUCACCCAGGCACCAACAUCUCAGAUCCUGGCAGCAGGACGGAGCAUGACACUGAGAUGUACCCAGGAUAUGAGACAUAAUGCCAUGUACUGGUAUAGACAAGAUCUAGGACUGGGGCUAAGGCUCAUCCAUUAUUCAAAUACUGCAGGUACCACUGGCAAAGGAGAAGUCCCUGAUGGUUAUAGUGUCUCCAGAGCAAACACAGAUGAUUUCCCCCUCACGUUGGCGUCUGCUGUACCCUCUCAGACAUCUGUGUACUUCUGUGCCAGCAGUGACUC